GAUGAACGCUGGCGGCGUGCCUAAUACAUGCAAGUCGAGCGAACGGACGAGAAGCUUGCUUUUCUUAUGUUAGCGGCGGACGGGUGAGUAACACGUGGAUAACCUACCUAUAAGACUGGGAUAACUUCGGGAAACCGGAGCUAAUACCGGAUAAUAUUUUGAACCGCAUGGUUCAAAAGUGAAACACGGUCUUGCUGUCACUUAUACAUGGAUCCCCGCUGCAUUAGCUAGUUGGUAAGGUAACGGCUUACCAAGGCAACGAUGCAUAGCCGACCUGAGAGGGUGAUCGGCCACACUGGAACUGAGACACGGUCCAGACUCCUACGGGAGGCAGCAGUAGGGAAUCUUCCGCAAUGGGCGAAAGCCUGACGGAGCAACGCCGCGUGAGUGAUGAAGGUCUUCGGAUCGUAAAACUCUGUUAUUAGGGAAGAACAUAUGUGUAAGUAACUGUGCACAUCUUGACGGUACCUAAUCAGAAAGCCACGGCUAACUACGUG
Molecule: ribosomal RNA, 497 nt
Filed under: uncultured bacterium
Lineage: Bacteria
Description: partial 16S ribosomal RNA
Rfam family: Bacterial small subunit ribosomal RNA
Source: RNAcentral